GCCUGGGUGGCUCAGUAGGUUGGGCAACUGACUUCGGUUCAGGUCACAAACUCACAGUUGUUCGUGGGUUCGAGCCCCGCGUCGGGCU
RNAcentral lists this transfer RNA (88 nucleotides) under Felis catus (domestic cat). It matches the Rfam family "tRNA". Rfam says of the family: Transfer RNA (tRNA) molecules are approximately 80 nucleotides in length. Their secondary structure includes four short double-helical elements and three loops (D, anti-codon, and T loops). Further hydrogen bonds mediate the characteristic L-shaped molecular structure. tRNAs have two regions of fundamental functional importance: the anti-codon, which is responsible for specific mRNA codon recognition, and the 3' end, to which the tRNAs corresponding amino acid is attached (by aminoacyl-tRNA synthetases). tRNAs cope with the degeneracy of the genetic code in two manners: having more than one tRNA (with a specific anti-codon) for a particular amino acid; and 'wobble' base-pairing, i.e. permitting non-standard base-pairing at the 3rd anti-codon position. RNAcentral also lists the same sequence under 1 other name. Lineage: Eukaryota; Metazoa; Chordata; Mammalia; Carnivora; Felidae. The record is from Rfam by way of RNAcentral.